This 463-nucleotide ribosomal RNA is filed under the name uncultured bacterium. RNAcentral's name for it is "partial 16S ribosomal RNA". It matches the Rfam family "Bacterial small subunit ribosomal RNA", at positions 28 to 507 of the family's 1533-position model. The record is from RNAcentral.
GAUGAACGCUGACAGAAUGCUUAACACAUGCAAGUCGAUGGGGAAGUGGUGCUUGCACCAUGGCAACCAUGGCGGACGGGUGAGUAACGCGUAAGGGACUUACCUGCAGGACUGGGAUAACAGGGGGAAACUCCUGACAAGACCGGAUAAUGUCAUGGAGCUGCAUGGCUUUAUGAUGAAAGGAGACGCCUGCGGAGAGCCUUGCGUCCUAUUAGCUAGUUGGUGAGGUAAUGGCUCACCAAGGCGAAGAUAGGUAGCCGGCCUGAGAGGGUGGACGGCCACAAGGGGACUGGGAGACGGCCCUUACUCCUACGGGAGGCAGCAGUGGGGAAUAUUGGACAAUGGGGGCAACCCUGAUCCAGCAAUUCUGUGUGCACGAAGAAGGUUUUCGGAUUGUAAAGUGCUUUCAGCAGGGAAGAAGUAAGUGACGGUACCUGCAGAAGAAGCGACGGCUAAAUACGUG